RNAcentral lists this ribosomal RNA (869 nucleotides) under uncultured Bacillota bacterium. RNAcentral's name for it is "bacterial SSU rRNA". It matches the Rfam family "Bacterial small subunit ribosomal RNA", at positions 11 to 891 of the family's 1533-position model. Lineage: Bacteria; Bacillati; Bacillota. The record is from RNAcentral.
CUUUGAUUAUGGCUCAGGAUGAACGCUGGCGGCGUGCCUAACACAUGCAAGUCGAACGGACUUACAUUGAAGCCUAGCGAUAUGUAAGUUAGUGGCGGACGGGUGAGUAACGCGUGGGUAACCUGCCUUGUACUGGGGGACAACAGUUGGAAACGACUGCUAAUACCGCAUAAGCGCACAGCUUCGCAUGAAGCAGUGUGAAAAACUCCGGUGGUACAAGAUGGACCCGCGUCUGAUUAGCUGGUUGGUGAGGUAACGGCCCACCAAGGCGACGAUCAGUAGCCGGCCUGAGAGGGUGAACGGCCACAUUGGGACUGAGACACGGCCCAAACUCCUACGGGAGGCAGCAGUGGGGAAUAUUGCACAAUGGGGGAAACCCUGAUGCAGCAACGCCGCGUGAGUGAAGAAGUAUUUCGGUAUGUAAAGCUCUAUCAGCAGGAAAGAAAAUGACGGUACCUGACUAAGAAGCCCCGGCUAACUACGUGCCAGCAGCCGCGGUAAUACGUAGGGGGCAAGCGUUAUCCGGAUUUACUGGGUGUAAAGGGAGCGUAGACGGUUUUGCAAGUCUGAAGUGAAAGCCCGGGGCUUAACCCCGGGACUGCUUUGGAAACUGUAGAACUAGAGUGCAGGAGAGGUAAGUGGAAUUCCUAGUGUAGCGGUGAAAUGCGUAGAUAUUAGGAGGAACACCAGUGGCGAAGGCGGCUUACUGGACUGUAACUGACGUUGAGGCUCGAAAGCGUGGGGAGCAAACAGGAUUAGAUACCCUGGUAGUCCACGCCGUAAACGAUGAUUACUAGGUGUUGGUGGGUAUGACCCAUCGGUGCCGCAGCAAACGCAAUAAGUAAUCCACCUGGGGAGUACGUUCGCAA